Molecule: non-coding RNA, 5288 nt
Organism: Physcomitrium patens
Lineage: Eukaryota; Viridiplantae; Streptophyta; Bryopsida; Funariales; Funariaceae
Source: RefSeq, a predicted model, not a curated record
AUGUGCGGCACACGCCGAGGGGACGAGCUUUCUGAGGCUCUGCAACGAAGCUUGUGCAGAAUCUGACACAGAAUCACGCAAAUCCCCCGCACGCAUGUUGCCAAGCCUCGCGCGAUCACGACGACGAUGGGAUUGCUUAACUCACCGUUGCAUUUGAGCCGAGGAGGAGGAGGAAGAGCAGGGACUCGUGUGGCGCUGAUCGCAGAAACAUAUCCCUGUUGAAAUCUUUAAGUGUCGCUGUUUCUCGUCUUGUUUUGGUUUCAGUACUUGAAUCCCAUCGCUUGCUCGCGUUGAUUAGGUCGCAAGCGCUGUAAAAAGAAACUUGUGGGGUGCGGUGGAUUUUGCACUAUUGCCUUCCUUCAGAGCGACUUGCUAGGGAACCAGCUCGAGAAUCAGCUACAACCCAUAAGAUCUGCGUAAGGUAUCUGCAUUCGUCAAGUGAGAAGUUCACCGCGAGAUCUGGAUUUCUCCAAUCUCAGAUUUUGAGGUUACUCCGCGGAGGAAGGAGAAGGUUGGCAUCAUGAAGGAAAACGUAUUGUGAUGACCUGGUGCAAUAAGCUCUUGGAGUCGACCGCCUUGUUCUUCUCGUUCGAUUACUCCCUUCAAUGAGCUCCCUGUGUUUUCCAAAUUAGAAGACGAGCUACCGAAGAUGUCCGGUGUGGAGGCGGGUGUGGGUUGGAUGUUAUCGCCGCCUCCUAGCAAGGAUAAUGGGGGAGCCGCUCACUGUAGCCCACAUGGGCUGGUUGCUUACGGUGCAGGCAGCAGCGUGGUUGUGGUGGAGCCUCGAUCCAUGCAACUCGUCACGGUACUGCCCAUGCCUUCCCCCAAGAGUAUCUCUUUGCAACCAGCUCCUUUUGUGACGGCUGUGCAGUGGAUUCCAGAAGGAAUUCCUCGUGACCUCGCGGGACAGGAUGUCUCUACAGCUCAUCUGCAAUUAGCAGUGGGUGAUCGACACGGUCGUGUUGCCAUUUGGGAUGUUGCAUCAGGGGAUAUCAGCACAUGGCUAGACGUUGAUACUGAGAAGGGAAGACAAGGUAUUCAAGACCUAUGUUGGGUGUAUGGGCAGCCAUGGUUACUGGCGGUUAUUCAUGGUCCUACAUGUUUAAAUAUUUGGGAUCCUAGAACGGGUCGUUGUAUAUGGAAGUUCGACUCAGGUGGUGAGCUUCUCGGAUGUGUGAGAGCCGAUCCCUUUGAUUCUCGACAGUUUUGUCUGGUCGGGCUCCGGGGCCUACUAAUGACGAUUCUUGUAGGAGGAGUUCCAGAAUCUGAAAUACUCACCAAGCAGUACAUAAUCUCUGGGCAAGAUGAGAAAGGGUCAAUGGUUGAGAAAAGUAAAGAUGGAAGUGUCACUUCUGGAUCAUCAUCAUCUGGAGCACCUGCUCUUGCAUCCUCACCUGGGAUCAUUGUCCGAUGUAUGUACUCCAGGACUAGAAGAGGCUUGGUUUACGUAAUGAUGCCGCGUGAAAUAGUGAUUUUUGACCUAGCCUUUGGAAUGCCCUUAGCUACAACGUCCCUGCCACCCGGUUGCUCGAAACUUCUCGAUCUUUUGACGUGCAUAGAUGGUGACGUUCUGUAUUGUGCUCACCAGGAUGGCAAAGUCAGUGCCUGGAGAAGAAAAGAGGGUAUGCAGGUCUUUACGAUGUGCCUUAUGAGUACGUUGAUGCCAUCCAUCGGAUCCCCUGUUCCUGCACCAGCUGUCCUUGCUGUAAUUCACUGCCCUUUGCAGCUUCAAAUGCAGACAUCCUCCAACGAUGACCAGUCUGGUAGUCUGCAGGUUAAUUCUCCUUCGGGAGCCAUCCCUAUCCCAAGCACAUUUUCUCAAAAUGAUCAACUCUCCAAAGUUAAGGUUUCGUCUCCCCUCGAAGCCACGCUUUUAUCUGUUUCUGAUGAUGGACGAUUAUGGCGCUGGGUUAUCGAUGACGAUGGCACUGGAAGUGAGCCUGUAUCUUUGAACGGAACAAAGUUGACGCCCAGGGGUUCCGGAGAGCUCAACACUAUUGGGGAACCUUUGCAUUCCAUAUCAGAUGGCUUCAAUUCUGAAAUGCUUUUCAAGCUUGAUCUGACGGGACAGCUACAGCUUCUUUCAUCAGCUGUGUCCACUUUAGCUGUCCCAAUGCCCUCAAUGCUUUCUAUGGGUCAUGGGGGAGAAGGAAGCAAUUUUGGGGCAGUAUCAAUUCCCCUAACGGCAUUAGCCUGCCAGGGAGGCAAUCUGGAGCUUGUGGAUUCAGCUGCAAACACAAUUACUGCCUCAUUUUCUGUUCACAACAAUCAGCCUGUUCGAGGUGUUCGCUGGCUUGGAAAUACACGCCUUGUUUCGUUUUCCUACACUGAGGUGAAGGGUAAAGGGGGCGGAUUCGUUAACCGACUGGUUGUAACAUGUGUGCGUAGUGGCCACAGCAAAGUUCUUCGAGUGAUACAAAAGCCAGAGCGCUCUCCGAUGCGUGCUCUUCGCACCUCGCCAUCUGGCAGGUACCUUUUGAUUUUGUUCAAAGAGGCUCCUGCAGAGGUGUGGGCUAUGACAAGAACUCCACAGAUGGUAAGAACACUUGCUUUACCUUUCACGGUGAUGGAGUGGGCGCUUCCUCCGGCCCCAAAGGCAGCCGCUGCAGCAGCCGUCUCUUCGGCGAGAAAAUCAGCCAUGAUGAAAGAGCAAUCCACCAUUGCCUCAGCAGCUGCUUCUUCUCCUUCUCCCUCAAGCGCUAGUGCAGAUUCACAAGACUCUGAAAAUGCUGAAAGUUUUGCGUUUGCUUUGGUAAACGGUUCAAUUGGGGUUUUUGAGUUACGGAACAGACGAGUUCAGAACUUCAGGCCCAAAUGGCCUUCCUCUUCUUUUGUCUCAGCGGAUGUGCUAAUAACCGCAAUGGCGUAUCGCACACCUCAUGUGGUUAUGGGAGACCGAACAGGAAAUAUUAGAUGGUGGGAUGUAGUGACAGGGUUAUCAUCUUCUUUUAGCACUCAUCGUGGGGGCGUUCGCCGCAUCAAAUUUGCACCUGUGAGGAUUGGAGAUCCUACCAGAGGUCGUAUAGCUGUCCUCUUCAACGACCAUAGUUUUGCUGUGUAUGAUCUUGAUACCCAUGAUCCAUUAGCUCACACUCUAGUUCAACCGCACCUUGGAAGUAUAUUGGUGCUGGAAUUAGAAUGGUACCCGCUACGUGUAGACAAGAAUGAGCCUUUGCUCUUGUGCAUAGCAGGAGCAGAUGGUAGUUUCCGACUUCUGGAGGUUCAAAAUUUUGUAGGCGGCAAGUCUGGUCAGCUGGCAAAGCCAACGCAAUGGCAGCGUUACCGACCCAUGCCCUUGUGCUGCCCAGCCUUGCUUCCACCUCCUCAUGCUUUGUCUUUGCGCGUUUUACUACAGCAAGGAGUGCACCCUUCCUGGUUCACAGUAGAGACAGCAUCCACAGGAGAAGCAAGUUUUCAAAGAACUCCAAGUCAGGCUUUAGGGAGUCGUGGCGGGGAUUUGCGGCACUACCUUCUAUCAAAUCAAAAUCCUAUUUUAAGAGAGACUGUUUUUGCUGAGGUUUUGUUGAAAGCUUUGGAACCGUAUCGAAGAGCAGGUCAUUUGUUGGACGAGGAGAGGAAAGAACAGUAUGCAGCUGUGUGUAGGCAAGGCGUGGCUACGAGGUGUGCUUUCGCAGCUGCACAGUUUGGAGAGUACUCGGAGGCUGUGUUCUGGCUUCAACUUCCUCGAGCGCUCGCUCUCCUUAGUUAUGGUUCUGCUGGACCAACUGGAUUCUGGAGAACCACGAAGAAAGAACAUUCCUCUGCAACAGAGCAAAAGCCCCAGGAAUCUGAAGGCAAGGAUAUUUGCACGUCCGAGGUUCCAGUCAACAAGUCUUUAGAUCGUGAAAUGUCAUUCAGAAAUCCUAAAGUUGCUACACCAUAUUCUCCGGAGGGUGUUCUGCCUGGUGCUCCUUUUAAGCUGACACAUGGAUGCAUGGAUAUCUUGCCUUCUGAGCAAUCAGUAAUUCGGUCAGUUGCGCGGGAGCGAAUUGGCUGGCAUGAAAAGUUCACAGGAACGGAAGCCAAUCAAAGACGAGUGCAUGAGUUAAUUGCCAUAGGAGAUUUUGAGUCUGCUGUGACAUUGCUGCUGGCGACGCCUCCAGACAAUCCUCUGUUCUACAUGGAUGCGCUAAGAGCUGUGUCUCUAGCCUCUGCUGUGUCAAAAGGACUGCAUGAAUUAGCCGUGAAGGUGGUUGCUGCAAACAUGGUGGGAACGGAUGAUUCAUUAUCAGGAACACAUCUUCUUUGUGCGGUUGGUCGGUACCAGGAAGCUUGCUCCCAGUUGCAAGAUGCAGGUCGCUGGGUUGAUGCCGCAACAUUGGCGGCAACUCAUCUGCAAGGUUCAGAUCACGCAAGGGUCUUGGAGAGAUGGGCUCAUCAUGUACUGAAUAACGAACGCAAUCUUUGGAGGGCUAUGAUGCUAUUUGUAGCAGCGGGUGAACUAGUUGAGGCCCUGGCCACGCUCCGGGACGCUAAACAACCCGACACGUCGGCCAUGUUCCUCUUGGCUUGCCAUGAGGCUAAAGUAACUGCGAAAUCCUCUUUACCGGACAUGAUGGAACCAGAAGUUGCAGGUGGUGAUGAUUUGUUUGAUCUGCCAGGAGAUCUAGCUUACCACCACGAUGAUGUGCAAGCGGUGUGUGAAUACUAUGGGGAAUAUCAACGGCAUCUGGCACAUGCUUGCACAGCUAAUGGGACUAUCAUGGAUUAAUUUUGGUAAUAGCUUCAUUCUUUCAGCAUCUUGCCACUAGUAAUUAGCAAGUAAUUCGUUUUUGACGUUAUCGAGCUUGAGCAUAGACAGUGUAGUAGUGUUCAAAUCUAGGGCAGACGAAUUGGAUAAUUCUUUUGUUCAUUUUCAGCAGCUAUAAGGUCAACCACCUUCGGGUCUGUUUUAUCGUCAUAGUUACAGCUGAAGGUCGAAAGCAAAGGCUUUAGUUGCGUGAUCUCGUGUGAGCACACAGCUCAACCUCGCAGCAUACAGCUACCAAAAAGUCCGUGGUGCCUUAAACAGGAGCCGUUCAGCUAAGAAAAUCACCAAGGUCAUUUAUUGAACAAAGAUGGGGGUUGAAUGUCUUAUUUACCAAAGCUAUUAUUCAUUUUGAGUGCUUCAAUGCUAUGAGUGUCUUUUGUAGUUCCAUUCAUUGGCUGUGACAAUAAUGCUGCAUUAGAGGCCUUGUUCAAACGAGGUCGAAAGAUGUGAAAACACCAAUCUAUAUCUUUGAUGGGCCCAGUUCAUGGCUUAGCUGGAUUCCAUGCUGAAGCAUCAAUUAUUCUUAUUUUCUUUUGAA